RNAcentral lists this ribosomal RNA (490 nucleotides) under Veillonellaceae bacterium canine oral taxon 211. RNAcentral's name for it is "bacterial SSU rRNA". It matches the Rfam family "Bacterial small subunit ribosomal RNA", at positions 9 to 476 of the family's 1533-position model. The record is from RNAcentral. Lineage: Bacteria; Bacillati; Bacillota; Negativicutes; Veillonellales; Veillonellaceae.
GAGUUUGAUUAUGGCUCAGGACGAACGCUGGCGGCGUGCCUAACACAUGCAAGUCGAACGGAGAUUUUAUUUCGGUAAAAUCUUAGUGGCGAACGGGUGAGUAACGCGUAGGCAACCUGCCCCACAGCCGGGGACAACUUUCCGAAAGGGAGGCUAAUACCGGAUACGAACGAGGUAUCGCAUGAUACGUGGUUGAAAGAUGGCCUCUGCAAGCAAGCUAUCGCUGAGGGAUGGGCCUGCGUCCGAUUAGCUGGUUGGUGAGGUAAGGGCUCACCAAGGCGACGAUCGGUAGCCGGUCUGAGAGGAUGAACGGCCACAUUGGGACUGAGACACGGCCCAGACUCCUACGGGAGGCAGCAGUGGGGAAUCUUCCGCAAUGGACGCAAGUCUGACGGAGCAACGCCGCGUGAGGGAGGAAGUUUUUCGGAACGUAAACCUCUGUUGUUCAUGACGAACGAGCUUUUUAUUAACAACGAAGAGCCAUGACGUA